Molecule: long non-coding RNA, 203 nt
Filed under: Lathyrus oleraceus (garden pea)
Lineage: Eukaryota; Viridiplantae; Streptophyta; Magnoliopsida; Fabales; Fabaceae
Description: Pisum sativum (pea) long non-coding RNA (PSAT_LNC041405)
Source: RNAcentral
UCAUCUUCUCCAUCAUCUUCUUCUCACCAUCUUCAUCAAUUAUGAGGUGAGUUCUUAGAUUGUUUUAGCAUUUGGGGGAAAUAACCUAUACUUGUGGGGUUAGGGUUUGUAUGAAAUUGUGAUGAACUUGUUGUGUUCAUACUCCCUAUCCAUGCUAUGUGUUGAUAUCAUGUUGUUGUUGUUGAAAUUGCGAUACUUGGGUG